RNAcentral lists this ribosomal RNA (434 nucleotides) under uncultured Oscillospiraceae bacterium. Its description in RNAcentral is "bacterial SSU rRNA". It matches the Rfam family "Bacterial small subunit ribosomal RNA", at positions 341 to 792 of the family's 1533-position model. Lineage: Bacteria; Bacillati; Bacillota; Clostridia; Eubacteriales; Oscillospiraceae. The record is from RNAcentral.
ACGGGAGGCAGCAGUGGGGGAUAUUGGGCAAUGGGCGCAAGCCUGACCCAGCGACGCCGCGUGAGGGAAGACGGUCUUCGGAUUGUAAACCUCUUUCAGCAGGGAAGAUAAUGACGGUACCUGCAGAAGAAGCCACGGCUAACUACGUGCCAGCAGCCGCGGUAAUACGUAGGUGGCAAGCGUUAUCCGGAAUUACUGGGUGUAAAGGGUGUGUAGGCGGGAAUGCAAGUCAGAUGUGAAAAUCAUGGGCUCAACCCAUGACCUGCGUCUGAAACUGUAUUUCUUGAGAGUGGGAGAGGUAAAUGGAAUUCCUGGUGUAGCGGUGAAAUGCGUAGAUAUCAGGAGGAACACCGGUGGCGAAGGCGAUUUACUGGACCACAACUGACGCUGAGACACGAAAGCGUGGGGAGCAAACAGGAUUAGAUACCCUGGUA